This is a non-coding RNA of Xylaria telfairii, 73 nucleotides long. The record is from the annotation of a GenBank genome assembly. Lineage: Eukaryota; Fungi; Ascomycota; Sordariomycetes; Xylariales; Xylariaceae.
ACCCUACUGGCCUAAUGGUUAAGGCGUAAGACUUCUAAUCUUAAGAUUAGCGGUUCGAGUCCGCUGUGGGGUU